GGCCCGUUGGAGAAACGGUUAACUCACAAGCCUUUCACGCUUGCAUACAGGGGUUCGAAUCCCGUACGGGUCACCA
Molecule: transfer RNA, 76 nt
Filed under: Acholeplasmataceae bacterium
Lineage: Bacteria; Bacillati; Mycoplasmatota; Mollicutes; Acholeplasmatales; Acholeplasmataceae
Description: tRNA-Glu
Rfam family: tRNA
About the family: Transfer RNA (tRNA) molecules are approximately 80 nucleotides in length.
Source: RNAcentral